Molecule: ribosomal RNA, 489 nt
Filed under: uncultured bacterium
Lineage: Bacteria
Description: partial 16S ribosomal RNA
Rfam family: Bacterial small subunit ribosomal RNA
Source: RNAcentral
AUUGAACGCUGGCGGCAUGCUUUACACAUGCAAGUCGGACGGCAGCACAGAGAAGCUUGCUUCUUGGGUGGCGAGUGGCGAACGGGUGAGUAAUAUAUCGGAACGUACCGAGUAAUGGGGGAUAACUAAUCGAAAGAUUAGCUAAUACCGCAUAUUCUCUGAGGAGGAAAGCAGGGGACCUUCGGGCCUUGCGUUAUUCGAGCGGCCGAUAUCUGAUUAGCUAGUUGGUGGGGUAAAGGCCUACCACGGCGCCGAUCAGUAGCGGGUCUGAGAGGAUGAUCGGCCACACUGGGACGGAGAAAGGGCCCAGACUCUUACGGGAGGCAGCAGUGGGGAAUUUUGGAAAAGGGGGGCAAGCCUGAGCCAGACAGGCCGCGUGUCUGAAGAAGGCCUUCGGGUGGUAAAGGACUUUUGUCAGGAAAGAAAAGGCCGUUGCUAAUACCGACAGCUGAGGACGGAACCUGAAGAAUAAGCACCGGCUAACUACGU